This 208-nucleotide long non-coding RNA is filed under the name Elaeis guineensis (African oil palm). Its description in RNAcentral is "long non-coding RNA (EGUI_LNC005465)". Lineage: Eukaryota; Viridiplantae; Streptophyta; Magnoliopsida; Arecales; Arecaceae. The record is from RNAcentral.
CUUCUACAAAAGCUAAUAAAUACGGUGGAUUCUAGUUGUUAGACUCACAUUAUUCUUCUGAAUGUAUAUUUUAAUUGGAAACUCAUACAUAUUUAACAUGAAUAUAUAAUGGCUUUGAAAUGUGGACGAGCUUAAGUACAGUAUAAUGAAUUACCACUACACCUGGUGUGUAGUUCACAUGUACAUGAGCCUUUUGAUAUUGGGUGAA